Molecule: ribosomal RNA, 537 nt
Filed under: uncultured marine eukaryote
Lineage: Eukaryota
Description: bacterial SSU rRNA
Rfam family: Eukaryotic small subunit ribosomal RNA
Source: RNAcentral
AUUCCAGCACCAAUAGCGUAUAUUAAUGCUGCUGCUGUUAAAAAGCUCGUAGUUGGAUCAAGAGUUCGACCGUGCACGGUGGCCCUGUCCUCGCGGUGGUUCCGAUCAUCGCGGGAGCAGCGGAUCAACCCCGUGCGCCAAACGGUCGACUCUAACAGACCGGAGCGGUUCCCUGUGAGUAGGCUCCUUCAUUGGGGCUGAAAGCGUCUACGCAUCAACCAUAUGCAUACGGGGGACGUCGGUCAAAGUUACUGUGAACAAACCAGCGUGUCCAAACAGGCCUUUGCCUGAAUGUUCGAGCAUGGAAUAACAAGGGAUCGAUUCUCUCGGUUCUUUUUGUUUGGUUUUUUUAACCCGAGAAGGAGUAAUUCAGGCCACGGUGUCUGAGUUUGGGUUUUCCCGUCGCCUCGGCGGCGGCCCCAAUUAGGCCGUGUCCUUACGGGAUAAAUAGGGACUGACGGGGCCGUACGUACUUCCACGUCAGAGGUGAAAUUCUUAGAUCGUGGGAAGACGAACUUCUGCGAAAGCAUUCGGCAA